This 371-nucleotide ribosomal RNA is filed under the name uncultured organism. RNAcentral's name for it is "partial 16S ribosomal RNA". It matches the Rfam family "Bacterial small subunit ribosomal RNA", at positions 527 to 896 of the family's 1533-position model. The record is from RNAcentral.
GGAGGGUGCAAACGUUGCUCGGAAUCAUUGGGCGUAAAGCGCACGUAGGCGGGUUCGUAAGUCAAAUGUGAAAGCCCUCGGCUCAACCGAGGAAGUGCAUUCGAAACUGCGAGCCUUGAGUACGGGAGAGGAUUGUGGAAUUCCCGGUGUAGAGGUGAAAUUCGUAGAUAUCGGGAGGAACAUCAGUGGCGAAGGCGACAAUCUGGACCGAUACUGACGCUGAGGUGCGAAAGCGUGGGGAGCAAACAGGGAUUAGAUACCCUGGUAGUCCACGCCGUAAACGAUGAGUGCUAGAUGCUGCGGGUAUUGACCCCUGCGGUGUCGAAGUUAACGCGAUAAGCACUCCGCCUGGGAGUACGGCCGCAAGGCUA